RNAcentral lists this long non-coding RNA (471 nucleotides) under Homo sapiens (human). RNAcentral describes it as "HSALNT0280531". The record is from RNAcentral. Lineage: Eukaryota; Metazoa; Chordata; Mammalia; Primates; Hominidae.
UCAAGGAUUUAAUAUUUUUUUAAUUGUAAAAUAUCUCAUUAAUAAUAUUGUAUAUUGAGUAAUAAUAGUUUGGAUAUAUUGGGUUAAAUAAAAUAUAUUACUGAAAUAGAGUUCACCUAUUUCUUUUUGCUUUUUUUUUUAAGAGAUAGGGUCUCACCUUGUUACCCAGGAUGGACUCGAACUCCUGGGCUCAAAUGAUCCUGCCUCAGCCUCUCAAGUAGCUGGAACUACAGCCACAAGAACUUGCUGUGGGUAGCCACUGAUGAUAUAUGGAGCAGACCAGAAACCAACCUGCAGCCAGAAGCCACGUGCUGCAAAGCCGAAACCACCUGCAGACCCAUAAGUAAGAAAUAAAUGUUUGCUUUUGUAAGCCAUUGAGAUUUGGGAGGUUAGUUGUUAUGUACCAUUAGCACAGCAGAAACCUGACUAAUACAGGUUUCUUCCCUGCUCUGGAAAAACAAAACAAUAAAU